AUGUCUGCUGGUAGGGUUUCCACUACAGAUGCAAGAAAAAGGUCCUCCCGCUUUCUGUCUGUCUGGUUGUGGCAGCUCAGAUUGAACAGGGAAAUACAGGA
Molecule: small nucleolar RNA, 101 nt
Filed under: Dasypus novemcinctus (nine-banded armadillo)
Lineage: Eukaryota; Metazoa; Chordata; Mammalia; Cingulata; Dasypodidae
Description: Small nucleolar RNA SNORA31 (ENSDNOG00000030044.1)
Rfam family: Small nucleolar RNA SNORA31
About the family: ACA31 (SNORA31) belongs to the H/ACA class of snoRNAs which are thought to guide the sites of modification of uridines to pseudouridines. ACA31 is predicted to guide the pseudouridylation of U3713 in 28S rRNA and U218 in 18S rRNA. This family includes the mouse homologue snoMBI-161.
Source: RNAcentral